Non-coding RNA from Triticum aestivum (bread wheat), 135 nucleotides. The record is from Rfam. Lineage: Eukaryota; Viridiplantae; Streptophyta; Magnoliopsida; Poales; Poaceae.
UUUGUACUCCCUCCAUCCCAAAAUGCUUGUCUUAAAUUUGUCUAAAUACGGAUGUAUCUAGUUACAUUUUAGUGUUAGAUACAUCCGUAUCUAAACAAAUGUAAGACAAGAAUUUUGGGACGGAGGGAAUACUAC